Oncorhynchus nerka (sockeye salmon) is the source of this 265-nucleotide long non-coding RNA. RefSeq lists it as uncharacterized. Lineage: Eukaryota; Metazoa; Chordata; Actinopteri; Salmoniformes; Salmonidae. The transcript is spliced from 3 exons. The record is from RefSeq and is a predicted model, not a curated record.
GAUACAACCAAGAAAGGAGGCAAGAAGAAGGGUGGUUCCAUGCAGACUGUGUCCUCCCAGUUCAGGAGAACUUACAUAAGCUGAUGACCAACUUGAGGAGCACUCAUCCUCACUUUGUACGCUGCCUGAUCCCCAACGAGUCAAAGACUCCAGGUCUGAUGGAGAACUUCCUGGUUAUCCACCAGCUCAGGUGUAAUGGUGUUCUGGAGGGGAUCAGGAUCUGCAGGAAGGGCUUCCCCAGUAGAAUCAUCUAUGCUGACUUCAA